GGAAUCGUUUUGAAAUCUUCAACUGGAGGAAGGUGGGGAUGACGUCAAAUCAUCAUGCCCCUUAUGACCUGGGCUACACACGUGCUACAAUGGACAGAACAAAGGGCAGCGAAACCGCGAGGUUAAGCCAAUCCCACAAAUCUGUUCUCAGUUCGGAUCGCAGUCUGCAACUCGACUGCGUGAAGCUGGAAUCGCUAGUAAUCGCGGAUCAGCAUGCCGCGGUGAAUACGUUCCCGGGCCUUGUACACACCGCCCGUCACACCACGAGAGUUUGUAACACCCGAAGUCGGUGAGGUAACCUUUUAGGGAGCCAGCCGCCGAAGGUGGGACAGAUGAUUGGGGUGAAGUCGUAA
RNAcentral lists this ribosomal RNA (353 nucleotides) under Bacillus amyloliquefaciens. RNAcentral describes it as "bacterial SSU rRNA". It matches the Rfam family "Bacterial small subunit ribosomal RNA", at positions 1134 to 1491 of the family's 1533-position model. Lineage: Bacteria; Bacillati; Bacillota; Bacilli; Caryophanales; Bacillaceae. The record is from RNAcentral.